UUAAAGGCAGCCUCGACCUUGGUGCCCCAGCUCCCCACCAUCCUCCCUGCCUUUCAUUAGGAAAAAUUAAAUGGGAAAGGGUGGGGGAGGGGAGCCUAGAUGCCUGGGUUCCCUGUGUGAGGCUGGGGGUGGGGGGGGAGCAGCUGGGUGCUGGCCCUAAUGGCUGCAGGGUAUGACACCCCAGAUCUUGCUCGGCACCUCUGGUGCUGCUGGGUGGGGGGCACCCAGAUGCUUUAAUCUGUAGGGCCCCCUGUGGGGUCUGAGCCCCUGCUCCUGGCAGGGAGAGGGGGAAGUGACUGGGGGCUGGGGGGGGCCUUACCUGGACACCUGGAUCUCCUGGCCUUGCUGGGACCUGUCUCAUGGGACAUUGCCAUCUCCCCCCACCCAUCAUGACCUGCAGCAGGGAGCUGGCAUUGUCCCCUGACACACCCCCCCCCCUAUUGAUUAGAGGAGGGCAGGAAAUUGCCUGGGCGCUGGAUGAUAAAUCCAUCGGGUGCCUGGCAGGCAGGCAGCUUGCCCCGGUGCUGCCUGAUGGAUCGCUUCCUAUUAGCCCCGGCACAGGGGGGGCUGCUCCAGGCUGGGCUGGGCUCUGGGUGGGGGGACACGCGUGGCACUGCUGCCUGUGCCCACCCUCCCCAGGCCUGGCACUGCCAGCUGGCAACGGCUCAGUCAGAGGGCUGGAAAAACCCAGGAGGCUGGGUGAUGCUGGGGGGAAAAAAUGGGGGGGCCCCUUGCUCCCCACGUUUUGCAGUGGAUUGUGCCCGAAUCCCCACCCCGGUACGGGGGCAGGGGUCUGGGGCUGGUUUUGCUCCCCACCACGGGAGGUGGGUGCCUCAGGGUGGGCACCGCGCUGCCCGCCGGGUUUAUUUACAAACAGGCGGGAGCUGGCACAGGGCAGUCGGGCACCAGCGGGACCUGGCGGCCUAUAAUGUUAAUUAUCACCACGUAAUUAAAAGCCCAUAAAAAGCCUCACACUUCAUUAAAUUAAAGCUUCCCUGCACCAUGCCGACGGGCUCCAGCAGAGUUAACCUUGGCCGUGCCAGGCACCAGCUCCACUGCAGCUGGGGACCUGCGGCGGGGGGUGUAUGGGACCAAGGCUGGGGGCGUGCAGCCCCCCACGCUGUUGUGGGGGGAUGCAGCUCUGCACAGGGGCACCCCCCAACACCAUUCAUCACACACGGGAAGCACACCCUGCUGCAUGCACAGCGUCACACACACGCGCAGGGGGAUGUCGUCCCAGUCGGAGCUGCCCCUACGGCCUCGCAUGGACGCGUGUGCCCGUGCCAGCCCCGCAGACACAUGCCGUCACGCCCACCGGGAUGCGGGCAGGGGGCUGACACGGGCACGUGUGUGCACACCCAGAUGUGCACCCGCUGCCUGCACGGCCGCUGCCGAGGCAGCAUCACACAGUGGCACAGCAGCUCCGGCACACGACGCCCACACGGCGCACACCUACACAAACAGCGUCUCUUCUUCCUGCCUACCAUGGGGACAGGCAGACAACAGACACACACCCUGCGUCUUCUCCAGGCCCCCACCCAUUGUUGCCAGUGCCUGGAGAGGUGAUCGGCUGUGGAGAGAGCACCUGUCUGUGCCUGCACACACACCACACCCCCCCCAUGCCUCAGUUUCCCCAAGGGCCAUGCUGUGCUGAGAGAGGUGCAUGGGGGACCCCCAAACCCUCCUGGCAGCCUGGUGCUCUGGGUCAGGGGUGCAGUGCCCAGGUCUGGGGGGAUACAAAGUGGGGAGGGCCCCCCCCCAGCACACAAGGAGGGGGGUGUAUGUGUUAAGGGGGGAUAUGCAUGGACUGGGGGGUGUGUGUGUGCACAGAAGGAGGGGUGCUGUGCUGGGGCUAUGUAUGUGCACGAGCAGGUGUGGGUGUGUGCACAAGGGGUGUCUAUAUGUGCCCAUGUGUUGGGGGGAUAUAUAUAUACCCACCCCUAGGUGUGUCGUGCUGGUGUGCACACAGGGCUCGAGGGGUGGGGGGAGCCAGGGCACACACACCUGUGAACACAGGGUGUGCAACUGGCACA
Long non-coding RNA from Athene cunicularia (burrowing owl), 2033 nucleotides. RefSeq lists it as uncharacterized. The transcript is spliced from 3 exons. NCBI's taxonomy places the organism in Eukaryota, Metazoa, Chordata, Aves, Strigiformes, Strigidae. The record is from RefSeq and is a predicted model, not a curated record.